This 263-nucleotide ribosomal RNA is filed under the name uncultured bacterium. Its description in RNAcentral is "partial 16S ribosomal RNA". It matches the Rfam family "Bacterial small subunit ribosomal RNA", at positions 793 to 1055 of the family's 1533-position model. The record is from RNAcentral.
GUCCACGCCCUAAACGAUGUCGACUGGUUGUUGGGGUUUGACACUCUCAGUAACGAAGCUAACGCGUGAAGUCGACCGCCUGGGGAGUACGGCCGCAAGGUUAAAACUCAAAGGAAUUGACGGGACCCGCACAAGCGGUGGAUUAUGUGGAUUAAUUCGAUGCAACGCGAAAACCUUACCUACCCUUGACAUGUCCGAGAGCCUGGAGAGAUCCAGGUGUGCCCCGAAAGGGAAUCGGAACACAGGUGCUGCAUGGCUGUCGU